Molecule: ribosomal RNA, 324 nt
Filed under: Catenaria anguillulae
Lineage: Eukaryota; Fungi; Blastocladiomycota; Blastocladiomycetes; Blastocladiales; Catenariaceae
Description: partial large subunit ribosomal RNA
Rfam family: Eukaryotic large subunit ribosomal RNA
Source: RNAcentral
UGUAACUGGGAACAUGUCCACCAUGGGCAUGUCCGUGAAUGUAAAGUCCACUGGAAUGUGGCAGCGCUUCGGCGUUCUUUGGGUCAGAGAGGGUGAAAACCCCGUUUACAUUCAUUGUGGGGCGUGUCUGUUGUGUGGGCGUGUUGAAGAGUCGGAUUGUUUGGGAAUGCAAUCCAAAACGGGUGGUAAAUUCCAUCCAAGACUAAAUAUUAGCAAGAGACCGAUAGCGAACAAGUACCGUGAGGGAAAGAUGAAAAGCACUCUGAAGAGAGAGUGAAAUAGUACGUGAAAUUGCUGAAAGGGAAACCCUUGAAACAAUGGUGG